CGUCGUUGAUGCCCAGGAGUAGGGAUGCAGACGAAUCGGCGGCGUUCGGUAAGGAUUCCCAUUCUAUGGCGUCGUUCACGCUUAGUUUACUAACAUUUUAGUUCUUGUAAAUUCUAAUCGGUAGAGACAAUGAUUUUCUUGAAUGACUCCCUGGGUGAGUUUCUCAUAAUCGAUGCAAGGGGAGAUGCAAGACAACGGCUACAAGGAAUGUCUGGAGAAACGGACAGACACAGCCGCCGACAAUUACAAUGAAUCAUACAAGAUAGAUACAGCGAACUCUCGUACGUGAAUGCUGGACGUUCCUGCCCACGCUUCUGGCCCGCUAAACUGCGCUUCUUUCUUUCCAUAAAUCAUUCGGGUUACGUUAUAGCAGAGAACAAACAGAAGACUCUAGACGAUGACAAGCUGCUAAUUUGGGAUAUUAUCAUAAAUUGCAAGUAUCCAGUAAACUAGCCUUACCCGGCACAUCCAAGGAAUGUUAUGAUAUCGAUAGAGAUAAGCUAGUCUCUGGGUACACCUAGAGAAGAUAGUAGAGGUAACAUAUACUAAGUGGCAGAAGAACCGGAUUCCUGGAAGCUGAAGUUCUUCUCGUGAGAAGAUAAAGAUUUCAGUGUUCCCUGGAUCACUUUUCUUUUCUCCUGAAAUAUUUUCACUGAAAAAGCCAAGCAAGAAGCCAAGACAAUAAAAUUGGAACAGAAAAAAUGAAGGAAGGAAGGAAGCAAACGGCGCGUUUCCGUCGCUCUAAACAGCACCAGGAAAGUCGCUACAAUGAAAGCCUCUCUGGACACAGGAAGUAGCAGUCGUUCUGCCAUUAACUAUUUCGUUUUGCUCCCACAUCCGGUUUCAUGGGUGUGGAUACGAGCAAGGCAGGGUCGUCCUGUAUUGUAUAUGCUAUAUGUGGAUCACAACAAACCUUUAUGCAUAUAUGCAGGCAUGAGAACGCUUACGAUAUGCAAGGCUCUACUUUGCGAAUAAAUUUUCGUGCCUUAGGUCUAGAAGCUAUUUAGCAGAUACUAUGGAAACAGGUGGAUGGGAGCUUUAAUUCUUAUACUUCCUAAAGAAGCCAAACUAAAAAUGGACUUUUCCACCUGACUCGAUCAAGCUUUUAUGGAUAUGCUAUCAUAGUGGAACACCCGUUAUAAAAUGGAGGCCGGGAUCGCAUGCUAGUGAAAUCUACAAUCGGUUUAUGGUGGCAGCAUCGAUUCUCGACACGCAACCCAAAGCGGCUCUUGAGUCUCAGGCUAAGCAGGAUUAAUUAUCUGCUGCUUUGAAAGAAAUUAAAAGCCGCCUCUUCGCGUAUGGGACUUAUAGUUAGCAUUCUCAUGCAAAGGAUCUAAGGGAACUACUGGGUCAGAGUCCCAUUACCACAGCAUGAAAAAUGAAAUUCUAAAACGUUAUCAGGUGAGCUGAAUUCAUUUUAUUUGUUACACGUCUAUUCUACGAAUUCUUAUGAAGUAUAGAUGCACUAGAUAUACACCUAACCCUCCGUAGGGUAGAAGCCCUCCGGAUAC
Long non-coding RNA from Cephus cinctus (wheat stem sawfly), 1511 nucleotides. RefSeq lists it as uncharacterized. NCBI's taxonomy places the organism in Eukaryota, Metazoa, Arthropoda, Insecta, Hymenoptera, Cephidae. The record is from RefSeq and is a predicted model, not a curated record. The transcript is spliced from 6 exons.